Molecule: ribosomal RNA, 331 nt
Filed under: uncultured bacterium
Lineage: Bacteria
Description: bacterial SSU rRNA
Rfam family: Bacterial small subunit ribosomal RNA
Source: RNAcentral
GUAGGAUCUACCUAGUAGUACGGAAUAGCCAUUAGAAAUGGUGGGUAAUACUGUAUAAUCCCCGAGGGAGAAAGAUUUAUCGCUAUUAGAUGAGCCUACGUUAGAUUAGCUAGUUGGCGAGGUAAUGGCUUACCAAGGCUAUGAUCUAUAGCUGGUCUGAGAGGACGAUCAGCCACACUGGAACUGAGAUACGGUCCAGACUCCUACGGGAGGCAGCAGUGGGGAAUAUUGGACAAUGGGCGAAAGCCUGAUCCAGCUAUGCCGCGUGAGUGAAGAAGGCCUUCGGGUUGUAAAACUCUUUCAAUAGGGAAGAUAAUGACGGUACCUAUAA